RNAcentral lists this long non-coding RNA (2319 nucleotides) under Homo sapiens (human). RNAcentral describes it as "HSALNT0069999". The record is from RNAcentral. Lineage: Eukaryota; Metazoa; Chordata; Mammalia; Primates; Hominidae.
GCUGCCUCUGCUGAGUCAUGCAGGUUGUCAGGGAAGUGGGGGAAAGCGAGCAGUCGCAGGCUUCACCCAACUCCCACACAAUCUGAAGGGCUGGUCUCACUCCCAUUGUGCCACCCCCAACAGCACUGUCUAUUUCCAGGCAGUGGGUGAGCAGGGCUUAAGAACUUGUCCCAGGCUGCCCGCCUCCCAGCCGUGAGAUAAAAGGGCUCUGGUUCUUCCCCCACCUGUGGAGUCUGCAUGCUAGAUUUACACCCUCCCCUGAGUUCUGGCCAGGAGGCCUCUCACCUGGUUCAAAUUGUUACAACGUUCAGCUGGAGACCUCCUACUCCCUGUGGUUAUCUCCCCGCACCUCUGGCCACCCUCCCGAAAGGAUCCCUGUGGUGCCAGGCAGGAAUGGCCUGCCUGGGGACCCAGCAAGCUCCCAGGGCCCUUCCCACUGCCUCCUCCACCCCUGCAUUUCACUCAGCUCUCUAAGUUGACUCAGCUCCAGCCAGGUGAGGAUACAGUGAGAAGACAGCCGUCUGCAAUCAGGAAGGGGACUCUCACCAGACAACAAGUCUUCCAGCACCUUUAUCUUGGACUUCCAGCCUCCAGAAUUAUGACAAGUUGUGCCUCUUUGAGACAGGCUGUCCCAGUCACACUGGGGGAAACUGAGGCAGAUCAGUGGAUGGAGGAUGAAUAAACUGCAGGCCAGGGAGUGCUUUCUUUCUGAAAGAGUCUUUAAUUAUACAAUUGAUGGUAUUCACCUUCAGUUUUCCAAGACGAUGGAAAGCACCACUGGUGCAUGUAGUUAACAGCAGCUUGACUCAGACACAGAACUGCAGCCAGGGCCCAUCUGUUCCCAUCACUCCUACUGCCAGUUUUACAACCAGAACUAGAGUGAUUUAUCCAUCUCAGUUUGCUCAGGACUCAGCAGAAGAGGAUCCUGGGACACAAGACUUUCAGUGCUCAAACUUGGAGAGUUCAAGACUUUCAGUGCUCAAACUUGGAGAGUCCUUGGCAAUCACAGUUUGACUAUGACUGAGAAGAUUCCCAGAAAGAAGGACUUUUAAUUCUAAAACUGAGAAAGUCCCAGGGCAUGAGUUGUUCACCUUAUUUGCAACCAACUUCUAAUUCAUCAUGAGGGCUUUGCAUAAACUUAUGCUUUAGGACUAGUAGAGUCAGUCAUUGCUUCAAAUUAAGUAGUGUGGCAAAAGUCUGUUAUUUUUCAGGAAAAAUUAAUGUCUGAUUGUGUUAAUCCUGGUUGCAAUAACUUAUCUCAUUUCCCCACUUUCCUGUGGAAAAAUUCCCAAUUUCUCAACCUGGCAUAUUAAGCAGCUGAAAAGUGGCCUAUGCCUUCAUCCCUGUCACUAUCUCCCUCCACUUGCCACCAUGCCCCAGUCUCUCUGAACUUUGUCAUUCUCCUUCAAGACUGGUGAUAUGGCUUGGCUGUGUCCCCACCCAAAUCUCAUCUUGAAUUGUAGCUCCCCUAAUCCACAAGUGUUGUGAGAGGGAUCCAGUGGGAGGUAAUUGAAUCAUGGGGAUGGGAUUUUCCUGUGCUGUUCUCGUGAUAGUGAAUAAGUCUCAUGAGAUCUGAUAGUUUUAUAAAGGGCAGUUCCCCUGCAUACACUGUCUUGCCUGCCACCAUGUAAGAUGUGCCUUUGCUCCUCCUUUGUCUUCUGCCAUGAUUGUGAGGCCUCCCCAGCCAUGUGGAACUGUGAGUCAUUAAACUUCCUUUCCUUUAUAAAUUACCCAGUCUUGGGUAUUUCUUCAUAGCUGUACAAAAACUGGAGACCUGAGAAAAUAGACAUUUUUUCAUCCCAGAUUCUUUCUUUCCCUGUCUCCCUUACUGCUUCCAUCCAUUCAGCAUAGUCAUGUAAGAAAACUCAAGCAUCACUGACUCUGAAUAACUGUUUUCAUCUUCCUCAAGAAGUUAUCUCCCUAUCCUUUAAGCUCAACUAAUGCUUUGUUUAUAUCUUUAAAAUAGAAUUGAUUACGUACUAUAUCAAAUACAUAUGCUUUAUACCUGUCUCCUUUACUAGACUAUUUCUCUAUUUAGUAGACUUACUUCUCAACAGUGAUAACUUAUUUUUCUUUUUAUCUCUAGUGCUUAAUCUCUUGCCUGGUGUACAAUAAAAUUUGUUGUAUGAACAUCUGAGUGGAUACAUUUUUAUACAUUUUAAACAGAUGGGAAAACUGAAGCUUAGAGUGGUUAAAUGAUUUCACCAAGAUCAAUAGCUAGGAAAUGACUGAAACGGGGCUUGAACCAAAGUCUUCCAAAUCUGACACCCAUGCAUUCAUCACCCCCUCAUUUGUAUACAUGGGUUACCAAUAACACAC